CCCGGAAAUAUCACCGUUGCCGUUUUUUACACUAUGACGCAACUCAUCCAUGGACGCUCGUCUGCUGCUGAAUUCAUGUUUUACAGUUGAAAAGAAUGGAAAGAAAUAUAGUAGUCCGAUAGAUAAUACGAGGACCUCUUGUUUUUCAAAACUGUUGGGUCAAAAAGUUAUUGUAAACAGAUAAAUUGAAAUGGAUUGCUUUUCGAUUAACUGGAAGAAAGCGGUAAACGAAACGCACACAAAACAAGAAAGUUGUGUUUCUUUUUGAUGUAAUACAUACCCACUAUUUUGUACUUGGAAAGCACAACGAAAGCUGACUCAAAAUCAUGCUGUUUGGGCCCUCUUCAGACUUGUACAAUGUACAUAGGAAGUGGACUCCUUGAGAAGGUGAAAGGUCUGCUUUACAUCAUUUUCAAUGGAUGUACAAGUACAAGUACUUUGAGAAGUAUGAGAAGCUAAUCAACAGGACAUAAUUCAUUUGGGUCAUUGCUGUCUAGAUUAUAUAGUGGAUUCAUAGAUUAUCGAAUUGAUUUAUGUGCAUAUGAGCACAGAGGAGCAGUAGUCAAUGAAUAAUUUUGUGAGGAGAGCUUGUUACCAAAUGAAAGGAAAGGAUGUAUGUCAUGUAGGUGUAAAAGUCCUGCAAAACAGAACUGAUAUCAAAAUACUAUCCACAGUGAAUAUGGUGAAGAAUAACCAAUACAUGUACCAUGAAUACAGGACAUGGAAGACCUUACAAACUUGGGAGUUUUACAAAAAAUAGAACAUUUAAAUUUACAAAGAAGACAUUUAUUUUGACAUUCAUAGACUUGGAAAGUAAAGAAAUUAGAAUGUGAAUAAAAAUCCUUGGAAAUAAAAUUUUGAACUUUGAAGAAGAUUGAUGUUUGUUUUAAGAAAGUUUGAAGAAAAAGGAU
Long non-coding RNA from Mytilus trossulus (common blue mussel), 911 nucleotides. RefSeq lists it as uncharacterized. NCBI's taxonomy places the organism in Eukaryota, Metazoa, Mollusca, Bivalvia, Mytilida, Mytilidae. The record is from RefSeq and is a predicted model, not a curated record. The transcript is spliced from 5 exons.